UCGGGAAUUUUGGGCAAUGGGCGAAAGCCUGACCCAGCAACGCCGCGUGAAGGAUGAAGUAUUUCGGUAUGUAAACUUCGAAAGAAUAGGAAGAAUAAAUGACGGUACUAUUUAUAAGGUCCGGCUAACUACGUGCCAGCAGCCGCGGUAAUACGUAGGGACCAAGCGUUGUUCGGAUUUACUGGGCGUAAGGGGCGCGUAGGCGGCAUGACAAGUCACUUGUGAAAUCUCUGGGCUUAACCCAGAACGGCCAAGUGAUACUGUCGCGCUAGAGUGCAGAAGGGGCAAUCGGAAUUCUUGGUGUAGCGGUGAAAUGCGUAGAUAUCAAGAGGAACACCUGAGGUGAAGACGGGUUGCUGGGCUGACACUGACGCUGAGGCGCGAAAGCCAGGGGAGCAAACGGGAUUAGAUACCCUAGUAGUCCCUGAGCGGGCUGGCAAGGCGCAU
RNAcentral lists this ribosomal RNA (447 nucleotides) under uncultured bacterium. Its description in RNAcentral is "bacterial SSU rRNA". It matches the Rfam family "Bacterial small subunit ribosomal RNA", at positions 355 to 825 of the family's 1533-position model. The record is from RNAcentral.